UACACACACAUGCGUCACACACUCGCGCGCACACACACACACACACACACUCGUGCCAGCUUGACUUCCUUAAACCAUAAAUUCUCGAUGUGUUUGAGGGUCAUAAGCGAUGGGAAAAGCCUCGAGGUAUCACAGCAGAACCCGAUCUACUGUCCAGAUGCAGCCAUUUCAAAAGUCCAAUGUUAAAAAAAAAGAAGAAAGUCUGCUGUGGGCGUCGAGAAUUAACCCCCCGUCAGCGUCACAGCACGCAGGCGACACUUCAGGUGUAUGACUAUUUGUUUGCAGUGCAAAUUACAAUGAAAAAAAAAAAGCACAGAGUAACCUUGUAGUCAUGAAGUUUUUCCAGAUAAAAGGCAUCGUUCGUCACUGAUCUUUAUUAUUAAACUACAGUAUAUGAAUCAUAAAGGAGAUGGAGAGUUAGUACAACAUAGUUUUAUUCUAAGGUUUUCAAGCUUUGUAACAUUUGAGACGAGACCUAAAAUGGAAACUGGAUGGAAAAUCUGGGCUUAAAACUAUAUAAAUUACUAUUUCUGAUUAAUCUGUAAACAUUUAGAUUAAACACUGUUCCUAUAAAAUGCCCAAAAGUAUUUGCAAGUGCCGUCGCAAGUUCAGACGACAAUGUGACAGACACACAAAAAUAAUUCACAUUGAUCCUCACAUGAAAGGAUCCCGUAUUUAUUUAUUUAUUUUUUGCCAUUUUAUUCUUAAAAAAUUCUUAGAUUUUUCUGCCAGUCAACUAAUUGAUUAAUUGACUAUUUCAGCCCCUUAAGAUGAACACUGCAGUGGCAUAUAUAUCAAAAAAAUACUGGUUCAGAGAAUGAAUGACAGCAUUAUUUCUGAACACAGGAGAGACACUUCCUCCUCGUAGGAGACAACAGGGAAUAAAACAAGCCGGGGUUGUUUGUGUUGUUGGGGGGUCCAGGCAGGCCACCGCAAGAGUCACUGUUCUUUUUCCUGCAUGCUAAUUCCGCCCUGUAGGGAAGACAUUCCUGCAUGGUGUGUGUGUGUGUGUGUUUGUGUGUGAUGCUUUCUACAUUUCUGUAGCAUUUACCGCGUUGCUGCAUUUGCUCCCAGCGUACGACACGGCCCCCACACCGAGAAGGAUUCCGAUCAAAUUCCUCUGUCGUGUCGUCUCACAAGGUGGACAAGCGUUAUUGUUGCAGAAUUCCCACCCAGGCGCGUGCGCGCACACACACACACACACACACACACACACACACACACACACACACACACACACACACACACACACACACACACACACACACACACACACACACACACACACACACACACACACACACACACACACACACACACACACACAUCCAUCCAUCCAUCAGAAGUGUCAGCGCAACACAAACAGAACAAAACAAAACAAAACAGAGGAAUUCCCUUUUUGUGUCGUGAUGUCUUUAUUUACACAGCGGAUACAACAAUGAGAGACGUCGCUCGGUUACAUUUGCCGCCGUGUCAACACGCUGUUCAAACAUUUAUGAUGCAACACUUUUGAUUAUUGUUUCUUUAUGACUCUAAAUUUCUCUUCAUGUCACACGGACACAAACACACUGUACAGCACCAGAGCAUGCUGUGGUGACAGACGACACUCCUUUACUUUAACAUGCAUCAACAGAGACGACUCACCAGGCUGUUUUAUUAUCCAUAAUUCAAAGUGACUACUAAGUGACUAACACAUUAUUUACUCAAUAAAUAAAUAAGCUUUUUUUUUUAACAUAUUACAUAUUACAUUUAUUUAUGUAGUUCUGCUGGUGAGUGAUUCUCCACAUGUGAAAUUUGCAUUAAAGUGAAGACAAUGUCAAACGUAGGCAAUGUCAAACCAUCUUUGGUCAUUAACGCCUCGUUUUCCUUCGCAGGGGAAAUUGGCCGUCGGUUGAUUUUUUCAAAAAUUGUUGUCAUCUUGGAAUAAAUCACUUUUUUAUUGCACUAAAUGUUCUUCUGAUCAAUAUCCACUUCAUGCAAUCGCUUUAAAUAAAGGCCCCUGGACCGCCACUCAUCCUUUCAGCGCCAGACGUACGACUGUCCGUCGCCGUUAACUUAACUCACGUACUAUAUAAUAGCUUAAAUAAAUAUUAAAUAUUUUAACUUCAACAAUGUGGACAUUCACUUUUCACUAGCUAACCGCAAAGUGGAUCCCCGGUCGGCUUUUACAAACAUAAUUCAAAGCAAAGCUUUUAUUGGUCAACACGAUGGCGUCCAUGUAUGAUGAACGUGAUGACGACACACUGAAGCCUCGAUGCUACGACAACGAACUGCAACACAUUUAUAUUUCAUGGCCUGUUGCCUGAGUCUCAUAUGGAAUGAGUCUACGAAGGCCUGUCGUGAUUAUGAAGUUGAGAAGUGUGUUGGUUUUAUUUGAUCUGUUGGCAGAUGAUGUACUGCAUCAUGAUGUGGACGAGUUGGCAUGGAAUGACUGCAUGUGUGCACCGAAACAGAGGCAGUGAUGUUGUGUUUGUCAGAGUUCCUGUUGUCAGUGUUCGGGGCUGAGCGGUGGACGGAUGUCCAGCGUCCUCGAUGAGCUGUCCUCUGCCACCACCUCGAGCCGCAGACAGAGCGAGCUCUGCUCCUCCUCGCCCUCCGAUUGGACGGACAGACGCAGCGUGCAGCCUUUCGGCAGCAGCUCCUGCUCGUACGCCGCGGCCAACUGGUUGACCACCCGCCGCUCCACCUGAGGGAUCAGCGACGAGGCGAGAGUUUGCUUUCACGUUUUUCAGAAAAUUGUAUCUACGUCGUUGAGUCAUUGAGUUUGCUUUUAGCUGUAGCGUUCCUAUUUUGUAUGCUGACUCAUUUGUUACUAACUUAAAUUCCUAUUUCAGUUGUAAAGUUACUGUUACUUUCUGCACCUGCUGUCCUGAGCUUCGCUGCUCAAUCCCGAAAAGCAAGAUAUGAACUGAUAUUGGACAUUGUUCUUUGCUUAUUGGAGGCUGUUCCUUGAUCAAGUAUGUAUCACAGACCUCAUCUACAAAAAAACAAAAAAAUGUUUUAACUCACAUGAAGUGUGACACUUAGAAAGAAAUAUCAGACUGUUGUUUUUCUGAGAAUGGAAAAUAGGCUCAUUAAUCAGAUGACUUUUUUCAUAGUUUUGGCCAUUGCUCCUGUCAGUUAUGAUAUUUUACUCACCAGUGUCAUUGGUGAGAUGUAAAUAAAUCCAGUGGAAGUCAAAAUGAUGGCAAAGUUGACAUGUUAUGUUUUAAAUAUUUGCAGCUUUCCUUACUGGCCUGUUUCAUUGUAGUGGCUUUGUCAACAUCUCUCUGUGUGAAAACUAAUAAAAAUGGUAGAUGAAACUAUGAAAACAUGAAAAAAAUAAAUCCUUUAAAUGAA
Molecule: long non-coding RNA, 3339 nt
Organism: Scophthalmus maximus (turbot)
Lineage: Eukaryota; Metazoa; Chordata; Actinopteri; Pleuronectiformes; Scophthalmidae
Exons: 2
Source: RefSeq, a predicted model, not a curated record